AGUUCGAUUAAGCCAUGCAAGUCUACUCAUUCACCUGGAUGGGUGGCAUACGGCUGAGUAACACGUAGUCAAUCUGCCCUAAGGACGGGUAUAACCUCGGGAAACUGAGGCUAACUCCCGAUAGACGAUGAGAACUGGAAGGCCUCAUCAUCGAAAAGGCUGGUGAAUUGGAGCCAGUCCGCCAUAGGAUGAGACUGCGGCUGAUUAGGUAGUUGGUGAGGUAACGGCCCACCAAGCCGAUAAUCAGUAGGGGCCAUGGGAGUGGUGGCCCCCAGAAGGGUACUGAGACAAGGACCCUAGUCCUACGGGAUGCAGCAGGCGCGAAACCUCUGCAAUGCGCGAAAGCGUGACAGGGGAAGUCUGAGUGGCGGAAACUUAGUUUCCGUCUUUUGCCAAGUGUAAACAGCUUGGAGAAUAAGGGUGUGGGCAAGACUGGUGGCAGCCGCCGCGGUAACACCAGCGCCUCGAGUGGUACCCACGAAUAUUGGGCCUAAAGCGUCCGUAGCCGGACCUCUAAGUCCACUGUGAAAUGUUGGAGCUCAACUCUAACGCGUGCAGUGGAUACUGUUGGUCUUGGGAAUGGGGGAGGGUCGGAGUACUUCCAGGGUAGGGGUAAAAUCCGUUGAGCCUGGAAGGACUACCAGUGGCGAAGGCGCCGAUCCAAAACAUAUCCGACGGUGAGGGACGAAAGCUGGGGGAGCGAACGGGAUUAGAUACCCCGGUAGUCCCAGCUGUAAAUGAUGCAGACUGAGGUGUUGCCUGUGAGUAAUCACAGGCAGUGCUGUAGCGUAGGUGUUAAGUCUGCCGCCUGGGGAGUACGAUCGCAAGAUUUAAACUUAAAGGAAUUGGCGGGGGAGCACCACAAGCCGUGGAUGCUACGGUUU
RNAcentral lists this ribosomal RNA (884 nucleotides) under uncultured archaeon. Its description in RNAcentral is "bacterial SSU rRNA". It matches the Rfam family "Archaeal small subunit ribosomal RNA", at positions 37 to 903 of the family's 1478-position model. The record is from RNAcentral.